This 63-nucleotide transfer RNA is filed under the name Toxicochlespira sp. MNHN IM 2013-9841. Its description in RNAcentral is "tRNA-Gln". The record is from RNAcentral. Lineage: Eukaryota; Metazoa; Mollusca; Gastropoda; Neogastropoda; Conidae.
UAUACAGCGGUGUUAGGGCACAAAGAAUUUUGAUUUCUUUAGAGAGGUUCAGAACCUCCUGAU